UAGAGUUUGAUCAUGGCUCAGGACGAACGCUGGCGGCGUGCCUAAUACAUGCAAGUCGAACGAACUCUGGUAUUGAUUGGUGCUUGCAUCAUGAUUUACAUUUGAGUGAGUGGCGAACUGGUGAGUAACACGUGGGAAACCUGCCCAGAAGCGGGGGAUAACACCUGGAAACAGAUGCUAAUACCGCAUAACAACUUGGACCGCAUGGUCCGAGCUUGAAAGAUGGCUUCGGCUAUCACUUUUGGAUGGUCCCGCGGCGUAUUAGCUAGAUGGUGGGGUAACGGCUCACCAUGGCAAUGAUACGUAGCCGACCUGAGAGGGUAAUCGGCCACAUUGGGACUGAGACACGGCCCAAACUCCUACGGGAGGCAGCAGUAGGGAAUCUUCCACAAUGGACGAAAGUCUGAUGGAGCAACGCCGCGUGAGUGAAGAAGGGUUUCGGCUCGUAAAACUCUGUUGUUAAAGAAGAACAUAUCUGAGAGUAACUGUUCAGGUAUUGACGGUAUUUAACCAGAAAGCCACGGCUAACUACGUGCCAGCAGCCGCGGUAAUACGUAGGUGGCAAGCGUUGUCCGGAUUUAUUGGGCGUAAAGCGAGCGCAGGCGGUUUUUUAAGUCUGAUGUGAAAGCCUUCGGCUCAACCGAAGAAGUGCAUCGGAAACUGGGAAACUUGAGUGCAGAAGAGGACAGUGGAACUCCAUGUGUAGCGGUGAAAUGCGUAGAUAUAUGGAAGAACACCAGUGGCGAAGGCGGCUGUCUGGUCUGUAACUGACGCUGAGGCUCGAAAGUAUGGGUAGCAAACAGGAUUAGAUACCCUGGUAGUCCAUACCGUAAACGAUGAAUGCUAAGUGUUGGAGGGUUUCCGCCCUUCAGUGCUGCAGCUAACGCAUUAAGCAUUCCGCCUGGGGAGUACGGCCGCAAGGCUGAAACUCAAAGGAAUUGACGGGGGCCCGCACAAGCGGUGGAGCAUGUGGUUUAAUUCGAAGCUACGCGAAGAACCUUACCAGGUCUUGACAUACUAUGCAAAUCUAAGAGAUUAGACGUUCCCUUCGGGGACAUGGAUACAGGUGGUGCAUGGUUGUCGUCAGCUCGUGUCGUGAGAUGUUGGGUUAAGUCCCGCAACGAGCGCAACCCUUAUUAUCAGUUGCCAGCAUUAAGUUGGGCACUCUGGUGAGACUGCCGGUGACAAACCGGAGGAAGGUGGGGAUGACGUCAAAUCAUCAUGCCCCUUAUGACCUGGGCUACACACGUGCUACAAUGGAUGGUACAACGAGUUGCGAACUCGCGAGAGUAAGCUAAUCUCUUAAAGCCAUUCUCAGUUCGGAUUGUAGGCUGCAACUCGCCUACAUGAAGUCGGAAUCGCUAGUAAUCGCGGAUCAGCAUGCCGCGGUGAAUACGUUCCCGGGCCUUGUACACACCGCCCGUCACACCAUGAGAGUUUGUAACACCCAAAGUCGGUGGGGUAACCUUUUAGGAACCAGCCGCCUAAGGUGGGACAGAUGAUUAGGGUGAAGUCGUAACAAGGUAGCCGUAGGAGAA
Molecule: ribosomal RNA, 1538 nt
Filed under: Lactiplantibacillus plantarum
Lineage: Bacteria; Bacillati; Bacillota; Bacilli; Lactobacillales; Lactobacillaceae
Description: Lactobacillus plantarum partial 16S rRNA
Rfam family: Bacterial small subunit ribosomal RNA
Source: RNAcentral